ACGUAGGGGGCAAGCGUUGUCCGGAUUUACUGGGCGUAAAGAGCGCGUAGGCGGAGAUCUAAGCGUGGCCUGAAAGCCCCCGGCUCAACCGGGGAGUGCGGCUGCGAACUGGGUUUCUUGAGGACGAUAGAGGAGAGUGGAAUUCCUGGUGUAGCGGUGAAAUGCGUAGAUAUCAGGAGGAACACCCGAGGCGAAGGCGGCUCUCUGGGUCGUACCUGACGCUGAGGCGCGAAAGCGUGGGGAGCGAACG
This 250-nucleotide ribosomal RNA is filed under the name uncultured bacterium. RNAcentral's name for it is "partial 16S ribosomal RNA". It matches the Rfam family "Bacterial small subunit ribosomal RNA", at positions 525 to 774 of the family's 1533-position model. The record is from RNAcentral.